GACGAACGCUGGCGGCGUGCUUAACACAUGCAAGUCGAACGGAAAGGCCCUGCUUUUGUGGGGUGCUCGAGUGGCGAACGGGUGAGUAACACGUGAGUAACCUGCCCUUGACUUUGGGAUAACUUCAGGAAACUGGGGCUAAUACCGGAUAGGAGCUCCUGCUGCAUGGUGGGGGUUGGAAAGUUUCGGCGGUUGGGGAUGGACUCGCGGCUUAUCAGCUUGUUGGUGGGGUAGUGGCUUACCAAGGCUUUGACGGGUAGCCGGCCUGAGAGGGUGACCGGCCACAUUGGGACUGAGAUACGGCCCAGACUCCUACGGGAGGCAGCAGUGGGGAAUAUUGCACAAUGGGCGGAAGCCUGAGGCAGCAACGCCGCGGGCGGGAUGACGGCCCUCGGGUUGUAAACCGCUUUCGCCUGUGAGGAAGCGUGAGUGACGGUAAUGGGUAAAGAAGCACCGGCUAACUACGUG
RNAcentral lists this ribosomal RNA (468 nucleotides) under uncultured bacterium. RNAcentral describes it as "partial 16S ribosomal RNA". It matches the Rfam family "Bacterial small subunit ribosomal RNA", at positions 28 to 507 of the family's 1533-position model. The record is from RNAcentral.